GGAUAUUCUGGUGCACAUGGGUAAGAGUUUGGUUAGAGAAGAUUCUGAGGAGUCGGGCUGCUGGGUUAUAGGGCAUAUGUACUUUCCUCUUUACUAGAUCACUUAUGUACUUUUUAAUUCUGAAAAUGUUUCUCAGGGAAACAGUGCUUUAACACCCUAGCAUUGUUUGGGGUAGAGGAAAUGAGGUAUGCCUGCCCUUGCAGUUUGACCGGCCCGCCUUCUGUCCUCAGAACCUCGUCCCCUCCAGCCCAGACACCUUGUUUCCUCUGGCACCCAGAGGCUGGAGCCCCUUGGCAGCAGGCUCCUCUCUGGUCUCCCCGCCUCAGUGAUGCAGUUGGGCGGAGGUGGAAGCAGGCUGAGAAUGAGGAAGUGGAAACCAAAUAUGAGGGCCACAGAGAAGUCCGGUGCACAAACCUCAAUGUUUCAGCAGCACACUCGCUGGGAGAAGAACGUGCAAGCUGCCUGUGGAGCACGCCCAGCAGGCACAAAGCCCACUGGUGCCAAGGCGUGCUACUGGACAACCCACCACUUUGCAGUGGGUUCCUGUACAUAAGUCACUCCGUGCCAUCCUCACUCCAUCUUGUGAGCUGCCGACCCCUGCCCAGACCUCCCCACACACACCCUGAAGUAUUCCUGGCCUCACUUCCUGCAGCCUUGGGAAGUGGCUGGUAUGAGGAAGACCCGCGGCACGCAGGGAGGAAGUGGGCCAGCCGGGCCCUCACCAUCUGCAGCGGCCACACUGCUUCGGUGCAGCCUACAGCUCAAACGGUUGCAAACGCUGGCACCUGGAGAAAAGAAGGAAAGUAAAUGACUGAGGCAGAGCAUGGAGGGUGGGCCUUCGGGCAAAGCAAGCCUGGCUGGAGAGUGAGUGACAAGUGCUCAUCGACUGCGAGUUCUUCAGAAGCCAGAGAGGUGAUUCUCUUGCAAAUGGGAUUCAGGAGUGAGGAGGAAGCAAGCCAGUUCCCACAUCCCUGAGGGAAAAGGCAGGCAGAACUCCAAGAGGAAGGAAGUCAUCAGGGAGUCGGUGGGGCACUGGUAGUCACCUGACCCCCACAUCAUCUUCCCGUGGAUCAUCACGCAUGCAGCAGCUGCAACCCCCAGAGGCUUGUGGUCUGGCUGG
Equus caballus (horse) is the source of this 1120-nucleotide long non-coding RNA. Lineage: Eukaryota; Metazoa; Chordata; Mammalia; Perissodactyla; Equidae. The record is from Ensembl.